AUUGAACGCUGGCGGCAUGCCUUACACAUGCAAGUCGAACGGCAGCACGGGUGCUUGCACUUGGUGGCGAGUGGCGAACGGGUGAGUAAUACAUCGGAACAUGUCCUGUAGUGGGGGAUAGCCCGGCGAAAGCCGGAUUAAUACCGCAUACGAUCUACGGCUGAAAGCGGGGGACCUUCGGGCCUCGCGCUAUAGGGUUGGCCGAUGGCUGAUUAGCUAGUUGGUGGGGUAAAGGCCUACCAAGGCGACGAUCAGUAGAUGGUCUGAGAGGACGACCAGCCACACUGGGACUGAGACACGGCCCAGACUCCUACGGGAGGCAGCAGUGGGGAAUUUUGGACAAUGGGCGAAAGCCUGAUCCAGCAAUGCCGCGUGUGUGAAGAAGGCCUUCGGGUUGUAAAGCACUUUUGUCCGGAAAGAAAUCCUUGGCUCUAAUACAGUCGGGGGAUGACGGUACCGGAAGAAUAAGCACCGGCUAACUACGUG
Molecule: ribosomal RNA, 486 nt
Filed under: uncultured bacterium
Lineage: Bacteria
Description: partial 16S ribosomal RNA
Rfam family: Bacterial small subunit ribosomal RNA
Source: RNAcentral